Molecule: ribosomal RNA, 371 nt
Filed under: uncultured bacterium
Lineage: Bacteria
Description: bacterial SSU rRNA
Rfam family: Bacterial small subunit ribosomal RNA
Source: RNAcentral
ACGUAGGGUGCAAGCGUUAAUCGGAAUUACUGGGCGUAAAGCGUGCGCAGGCGGUUAUAUAAGUCAGAUGUGAAAUCCCCGGGCUCAACCUGGGAACUGCAUUUGAGACUGUAUAGCUAGAGUACGGUAGAGGGGGAUGGAAUUCCGCGUGUAGCAGUGAAAUGCGUAGAUAUGCGGAGGAACACCGAUGGCGAAGGCAGCCCCCUGGGAUAAUACUGACGCUCAUGCACGAAAGCGUGGGGAGCAAACAGGAUUAGAUACCCUGGUAGUCCACGCCCUAAACGAUGUCAACUAGCUGUUGGGGCCUUCGGGCCUUAGUAGCGCAGCUAACGCGUGAAGUUGACCGCCUGGGGAGUACGGUCGCAAGAUUA